RNAcentral lists this ribosomal RNA (253 nucleotides) under uncultured bacterium. Its description in RNAcentral is "partial 16S ribosomal RNA". It matches the Rfam family "Bacterial small subunit ribosomal RNA", at positions 524 to 776 of the family's 1533-position model. The record is from RNAcentral.
UACGUAGGGUGCAAGCGUUAUCCGGAAUUAUUGGGCGUAAAGAGCUCGUAGGCGGUCUGUCGCGUCGGCUGUGAAAACUCGGGGCUCAACCCCGAGCCUGCAGUCGAUACGGGCAGACUAGAGUGCGGUAGGGGAGACUGGAAUUCCUGGUGUAGCGGUGAAAUGCGCAGAUAUCAGGAGGAACACCGGUGGCGAAGGCGGGUCUCUGGGCCGUAACUGACGCUGAGGAGCGAAAGCGUGGGGAGCAAACAGG